This 501-nucleotide ribosomal RNA is filed under the name uncultured bacterium. RNAcentral's name for it is "bacterial SSU rRNA". It matches the Rfam family "Bacterial small subunit ribosomal RNA", at positions 791 to 1296 of the family's 1533-position model. The record is from RNAcentral.
UAGUCCACGCCGUAAACGAUGAUUACUCGUUGUGUGCGAUAUAUUGUACGUGACUGAGCGAAAGCAUUAAGUAAUCCACCUGGGGAGUACGGUCGCAAGAUUGAAACUCAAAGGAAUUGACGGGGGCCCGCACAAGCGGAGGAACAUGUGGUUUAAUUCGAUGAUACGCGAGGAACCUUACCUGGGCUUAAAUGUAGAAUGACUUUUGCCGAAAGGUGAUUUCCCUUCGGGGCAUUUUACAAGGUGCUGCAUGGUUGUCGUCAGCUCGUGCCGUGAGGUGUCGGGUUAAGUCCCAUAACGAGCGCAACCCUUAUCAUUAGUUGCCAUCGGGUCAUGCCGGGGACUCUAAUGAGACUGCCAGUGUAAACUGUGAGGAAGGUGGGGAUGACGUCAAAUCAGCACGGCCCUUAUGUCCAGGGCUACACACGUGUUACAAUGGUCGAUACAAAGGGCAGCUACCUGGUGACAGGAUGCUAAUCUCUAAAGUCGAUCUCAGUUCGG